Frieseomelitta varia is the source of this 872-nucleotide long non-coding RNA. RefSeq lists it as uncharacterized. The record is from RefSeq and is a predicted model, not a curated record. Lineage: Eukaryota; Metazoa; Arthropoda; Insecta; Hymenoptera; Apidae. The transcript has 3 exons.
CAGGACCAGGCCCACCGACGCCUGCUGAUCGACCCCUGCUGCUCAGUCCACCGAACAAGCUAAUGUCACCCAAGGGUAGUCGUGUAGUGAGCUAAGCUACCUUUCACCAUGCCAUUUAAACCAAAAAAAAAAAAAAAGACAAAAAGAAGUGGUAUGUGCACUUACGAUGUUACCAACCUAAAGUCACUAUCGGCUACGAUGGAACAGUUGUGAUCGAGAUCUUCGCUGUCGUCCCCGGAAGUAUGUCCGCUCUGGUUGUCGUGCCGAUGAAUGACCACCACCUCCUCGUCCUCGGAAUCGGCGGCGACUCCAUCGCAAGAUCUCUCGACCUCCGCGUCGCUAUCCUGCGACGAGGUCGGCGAAUCGUCUAUCAUCACAUCGUGAACGAGCCUAUUUUCAACAAGAAUUUAAUUCGCAGAAAUUAAUCGGUUGAAACUCUCAAGGCAUACAACGAGCGAAACACGAAGGAAUUUUAAACGAAGGGCCUACGCACGUUUGGAAAUUUUAUUUCUGUACGUACCAGAGAAUCGACAAUUUUACACACUCAUCUGCAUAAAUAUAAAAUUCAUUCAGAUCGAUCGAUUGUCACUAGAAUUAGAAUGUUUUGCAAAGUAAAUUGCAUUUCCUCUCCUGGAAUUGAAAGGUACACUUCCGUUUCCACGGGAUAAAUAAGAUCUCGCACGUAAAUGUCAGAAUCAAUUGAGAUUUUCCCAACAAGAUCAACGUGUCGUGCUUCGAUACGUCUUCUGUUAAGGUAUUAUCCAUUCAAAAGACAAGUGAAACAAAGUUGACACGGUAGAACUUUCGAGGAAUGUCUGACGGCUAAGGAACACUUGGAUACUAAUCGACCAACAGGUAAACGUUAAUCUUAC